Molecule: ribosomal RNA, 253 nt
Filed under: uncultured bacterium
Lineage: Bacteria
Description: partial 16S ribosomal RNA
Rfam family: Bacterial small subunit ribosomal RNA
Source: RNAcentral
UACGUAGGGUGCAAGCGUUGUCCGGAAUUAUUGGGCGUAAAGCGCUUGUAGGCGGUUUGUCGCGUCUGCUGUGAAAUUUCGGGGCUCAACCCCGAACUUGCAGUGGGUACGGGCAGGCUAGAGUGUGGUAGGGGAGACUGGAAUUCCUGGUGUAGCGGUGAAAUGCGCAGAUAUCAGGAGGAACACCGGUGGCGAAGGCGGGUCGCUGGGCCGAUACUGACGCUGAGGAGCGAAAGCGUGGGGAGCGAACAGG